AAACGACUCUCGGCAACGGAUAUCCCGGCUCUCGCAUCGAUGAAGAACGUAGCGAUACUUGGUGUGAAUUGCAGAAUCCCGUGAACCAUCGAGUCUUUGAACGCAAGUUGCGCCCGAAGCCAUUAGGCUGAGGGCACGUCUGCCUGGGUGUCACGCAUCGC
RNAcentral lists this ribosomal RNA (161 nucleotides) under Laserpitium krapfii. RNAcentral's name for it is "5.8S ribosomal RNA". It matches the Rfam family "5.8S ribosomal RNA". Rfam says of the family: 5.8S ribosomal RNA (5.8S rRNA) is a component of the large subunit of the eukaryotic ribosome. It is transcribed by RNA polymerase I as part of the 45S precursor that also contains 18S and 28S rRNA. Functionally, it is thought that 5.8S rRNA may be involved in ribosome translocation. The record is from RNAcentral. Lineage: Eukaryota; Viridiplantae; Streptophyta; Magnoliopsida; Apiales; Apiaceae.